GUGUCAGCCGCCGCGGUAAUACGAAGGGGACUAGCGUUGUUCGGAUUUACUGGGCGUAAAGCGCGCGUAGGCGGAUCGCUAAGUCAGGGGUGAAAUCCCAGGGCUCAACCCUGGAACUGCCUUUGAUACUGACGGUCUGGAGAUCGGGAGAGGUUGGUGGAAUUCCGAGUGUAGAGGUGAAAUUCGUAGAUAUUCGGAGGAACACCAGAAGCGAAGGCGGCCAACUGGCCCGAUACUGACGCUGAGGCGCGAAAGCGUGGGGAGCAAACAGGAUUAGAAACCCCCGUAGUCC
This 292-nucleotide ribosomal RNA is filed under the name uncultured bacterium. RNAcentral's name for it is "partial 16S ribosomal RNA". It matches the Rfam family "Bacterial small subunit ribosomal RNA", at positions 505 to 796 of the family's 1533-position model. The record is from RNAcentral.